GACGAACGCUGGCGGCGUGCUUAACACAUGCAAGUCGAACGAAAAGAGGGAAAGAGCUUGCUCUUUCCGGAAUUGAGUGGCAAACGGGUGAGUAACACGUAAACAACCUGCCUUCAGGAUGGGGACAACAGACGGAAACGACUGCUAAUACCGAAUAAGUUCCAAGGGCCGCAUGGCCCAUGGAAGAAAAGGUGGCCUCUACCUGUAAGCUAUCGCCUGAAGAGGGGUUUGCGUCUGAUUAGCUGGUUGGAGGGGUAACGGCCCACCAAGGCGACGAUCAGUAGCCGGUCUGAGAGGAUGACCGGCCACACUGGAACUGAGACACGGUCCAGACUCCUACGGGAGGCAGCAGUGGGGAAUCUUCCGCAAUGGGCGAAAGCCUGACGGAGCAACGCCGCGUGAGUGAUGACGGCCUUCGGGUUGUAAAACUCUGUGAUCCGGGACGAAAAGGCAGAGUGCGAAGAACAAACUGCAUUGACGGUACCGGAAAAGCAAGCCACGGCUAACUACGUG
Molecule: ribosomal RNA, 513 nt
Filed under: uncultured bacterium
Lineage: Bacteria
Description: partial 16S ribosomal RNA
Rfam family: Bacterial small subunit ribosomal RNA
Source: RNAcentral